UGGGGAAUUUUGGACAAUGGGCGAAAGCCUGAUCCAGCAAUGCCGCGUGUGUGAAGAAGGCCUUCGGGUUGUAAAGCACUUUUGUCCGGAAAGAAAUCCUUGGCUCUAAUACAGUCGGGGGAUGACGGUACCGGAAGAAUAAGCACCGGCUAACUACGUGCCAGCAGCCGCGGUAAUACGUAGGGUGCAAGCGUUAAUCGGAAUUACUGGGCGUAAAGCGUGCGCAGGCGGUUUGCUAAGACCGAUGUGAAAUCCCCGGGCUCAACCUGGGAACUGCAUUGGUGACUGGCAGGCUAGAGUGUGGCAGAGGGGGGUAGAAUUCCACGUGUAGCAGUGAAAUGCGUAGAGAUGUGGAGGAAUACCGAUGGCGAAGGCAGCCCCCUGGGCCAAUACUGACGCUCAUGCACGAAAGCGUGGGGAGCAAACAGGAUUAGAUACCCUGGUAGUCCACGCCCUAAACGAUGUCAACUAGUUGUUGGGAUUCAUUCCUUAGUAACGUAGCUAACGCGUGAAGUUGACCGCCUGGGGAGUACGGUCGCAAGAUUAAAACUCAAAUGAAUUGACGGGGUCAUAGCUG
RNAcentral lists this ribosomal RNA (577 nucleotides) under uncultured bacterium. RNAcentral describes it as "partial 16S ribosomal RNA". It matches the Rfam family "Bacterial small subunit ribosomal RNA", at positions 355 to 932 of the family's 1533-position model. The record is from RNAcentral.